This 2826-nucleotide ribosomal RNA is filed under the name human gut metagenome. RNAcentral describes it as "bacterial LSU rRNA". It matches the Rfam family "Bacterial large subunit ribosomal RNA". The record is from RNAcentral.
UCAAGCUACAAAGGGCGCAGGGCGAAUGCCUUGGCACUGGGAGCCGAAGAAGGACGUGGUUAACUGCGAUAAGCUGCGGGGAGUCGUAAGCAGACGUUAUAUCCGCAGAUUUCCGAAUGGGGCAACCCGGCUGAUUGCAGAUCAGUCAACAUAUACUGAAUAAAAUAGGUAUAUGUGGGGAACCGCCUGAACUGAAACAUCUAAGUAGGGCGAGGAAGAGAAAUCAAACGAGAUUCCGCCAGUAGUGGCGAGCGAACGCGGAAGAGGCCAAACCGAGGGUAGAAAUACCUUCGGGGUUCGGACAGCGAUAUGUAGGCAAAAGGUUAGUCGAAGUGUGUGGGAAAGCACAUCAAAGAGGGUGAUAAUCCCGUAGACGAAAACUGAUUGCCGCUAGCUGUAUCCAGAGUACCGCCGGACACGUGAAACCCGGUGGGAACAUGGGGGGACCACCCUCCAAGCCUAAAUACUACCCAGUGACCGAUAGAGUAAUAGUACUGUGAAGGAAAGGUGAAAAGGACCCCGGGAGGGGAGUGAAAUAGAACCUGAAACCCUGUGCUUACAAGCACCGAGAGCCCGUCAAUGGGUGAUCGGGUACUUUUUGUAGAACGGUCCGGCGAGUAUAUGGAACAAGCAAGGUUAAGGUCUUCAGGACCGCAGCCGAAGGGAAACCAAGUCUUAAUAGGGCGCACAGUUUGUUUCAUAUGACCCGAAACCGGGUGACCUAUCCAUGUCCAGGUUGAAGUGGCGGUAAAACGCCAUGGAGGACCGAACCAACCCCCGUUGAAAAGGUGGUGGAUGAGGUGUGGAUAGCGGAGAAAUUCCAAUCGAACUCGGAUAUAGCUGGUUCUCCCCGAAAUAGCUUUAGGGCUAGCGUUGUGUUAGAUUACCGGAGGUAAAGCACUGAAUAGGCUAGGGGGCGAGAGUCUACCGACCCUUAUCAAACUCUGAAUGCCGGAUAAUUGAUGCACAGCAGUCAGACAGUGUGAGAUAAGUUUCAUUGUCAAAAGGGAAACAGCCCAGACCUACAGCUAAGGUCCCAAAUGUAUGCUAAGUGGAAAACGAUGUGGAAUUGCGAAAACAACCAGGAUGUUGGCUUAGAAGCAGCCACUCAUUAAAAGAGUGCGUAAUAGCUCACUGGUCGAGUGACUCUGCGCGGAAAAUAUAACGGGGCUAAGCAUGCAACCGAAGCUUAGGAUUGUCUAAAGACAGUGGUAGGGGAGCGUCGUGUACGGGGUGAAGUCGCAGCGGAAGCAGCGGUGGACUGUACAGGAGUGAGAAUGCCGGAAUGAGUAGCGAGAAUUAUGUGGGAAUCAUAAUGGCCGAAAAUCUAAGGUUUCUUGGGGAAGGUUCGUCCGCCCAAGGUAAGCCGGGAGCUAAGGCGAGGCCGCAAGGCGUAGUCGAUGCACAUACGGUAGAAAUUCCGUAGCCACCGAACUUUAAACCAGAAGGACACUUGCAGAUAGCGGAACCCAGCCGUUGGUUGAGCUGGGCGUAAGGGACUGAAAUAUAGUAGGGAAGUCCGCGAUGCUGUGAGGCGAGAAAAGCUCUGGUGUAUACUAAGGUGCCCGUACCGCAAACCGACACAGGUAGAUGAGGAGAGAAUCCUAAGGCCAACGGGAGAAGGGUUGUUAAGGAACUCGGCAAAUUGACCCCGUAACUUCGGAAGAAGGGGAGCCUCGAAAGAGGCCGCAGUGAAUAGGCCCAAGCAACUGUUUACCAAAAACACAGGUCUAUGCUAAAUCGAAAGAUGACGUAUAUGGGCUGACGCCUGCCCGGUGCCGGAAGGUUAAGAGGAGAGCUUAGCGCAAGCGAAGGUUUGAAUUGAAGCCCCGGUAAACGGCGGCCGUAACUAUAACGGUCCUAAGGUAGCGAAAUUCCUUGUCAGGUAAGUUCUGACCCGCACGAAAGGCGUAAUGAUUUGGGCACUGUCUCAACAGCCCGCCCGGCGAAAUUGUAGUACCGGUGAAGAUGCCGGUUACCCGCAACUAGACGGAAAGACCCCAUGGAGCUUUACUGCAGCUUAAUACUGAAAUUCGGUAGUACAUGUACAGGAUAGGUGGGAGACUGAGAAAUACAGGCGUCAGCUUGUAUGGAGUCGCUGUUGGGAUACCACUCUUGUACUGCUGGGUUUCUAACCUGCGGCCGUGAAUCCGGUCGGGGGACACUGUUAGGCGGGCAGUUUGACUGGGGCGGUCGCCUCCAAAAGAGUAACGGAGGCGCUCAAAGGUUGGCUCAGCACGGACGGAAAUCGUGCAAUGAGUGUAAACGUAUAAGCCAGCCUAACUGCGAGACCGACGGGUCGAGCAGUAACGAAAGUUGGAGUUAGUGAUCCGGUGGUAUGUGAGUGGAAAUGCCAUCGCUCAACGGAUAAAAGCUACCCUGGGGAUAACAGGCUGAUCUCCCCCAAGCGUCCACAGCGACGGGGAGGUUUGGCACCUCGAUGUCGGCUCGUCGCAUCCUGGGGCUGAAUUCGGUCCCAAGGGUUUGGCUGUUCGCCAAUUAAAGCGGCACGCGAGCUGGGUUCAGAACGUCGUGAGACAGUUCGGUCCCUAUCUGUUGCGGGCGUAGGAGAUUUGAAGGGAGCUGUCCUUAGUACGAGAGGACCGGGAUGGACAUACCUCUGGUGUACCAGUUGUUCUGCCAAGAGCAACGCUGGGUAGCUAAGUAUGGACGGGAUAACCGCUGAAUGCAUCUAAGCGGGAAACCCACCUUGAAACUAGGUAUCCCAAUUAAGACCGUGGUAGACCACCACGUUGAUAGGUCAGGUGUGUAAGCACAGCAAUGUGUUUAGCUAACUGAUACUAAUAAUCUGAUUGGCUUGAUAAC